AUUGAACGCUGGCGGCAGGCUUAACACAUGCAAGUCGAGCGGAGUGAUGGUGCUUGCACUAUCACUUAGCGGCGGACGGGUGAGUAAUGCUUAGGAAUCUGCCUAUUAGUGGGGGACAACAUCUCGAAAGGGAUGCUAAUACCGCAUACGUCCUACGGGAGAAAGCAGGGGAUCACUUGUGACCUUGCGCUAAUAGAUGAGCCUAAGUCGGAUUAGCUAGUUGGUGGGGUAAAGGCCUACCAAGGCGACGAUCUGUAGCGGGUCUGAGAGGAUGAUCCGGCACACUGGGACUGAGACACGGCCCAGACUCCUACGGGAGGCAGCAGUGGGGAAUAUUGGACAAUGGGGGGAACCCUGAUCUAGCCAUGCCGCGUGUGUGAAGAAGGCCUUAUGGUUGUAAAGCACUUUAAGCGAGGAGGAGGCUUACCUAGUUAAUACCUGGGAUAAGUGGACGUUACUCGCAGAAUAAGCACCGGCUAACUCUGUGCCAGCCGCCGCCGUAA
Molecule: ribosomal RNA, 503 nt
Filed under: uncultured bacterium
Lineage: Bacteria
Description: partial 16S ribosomal RNA
Rfam family: Bacterial small subunit ribosomal RNA
Source: RNAcentral